CAGUCGCCGCGGUAAUACGGAGGGAGCUAGCGUUGUUCGGAAUUACUGGGCGUAAAGCGCACGUAGGCGGUUUAUCAAGUCAGAGGUGAAAGCCCGGGGCUCAACCCCGGAACUGCCUUUGAAACUAGUAGACUUGAAUCUUGGAGAGGUCAGUGGAAUUCCGAGUGUAGAGGUGAAAUCCGUAGAUAUUCGGAAGAACGCCAGUGGCGAAGGCGACUGACUGGACAAGUAUUGACGCUGAGGCUCGAAAGCGUGGGGAGCAAACAGGAUUAGAUACCCCGGUAGUCCCUGUCUCUUAUAC
RNAcentral lists this ribosomal RNA (301 nucleotides) under uncultured bacterium. RNAcentral describes it as "partial 16S ribosomal RNA". It matches the Rfam family "Bacterial small subunit ribosomal RNA", at positions 509 to 807 of the family's 1533-position model. The record is from RNAcentral.